GUAACCAGGUUUCCCGUAGGUGAACCUGCGGAGGGAUCAUUA
This 42-nucleotide ribosomal RNA is filed under the name Inocybe melanopus. RNAcentral's name for it is "partial 18S ribosomal RNA". Lineage: Eukaryota; Fungi; Basidiomycota; Agaricomycetes; Agaricales; Inocybaceae. The record is from RNAcentral.